GUCGCUACUACCGAUUGGAUGAUUUAGUGAGGACUUCGGACUGGCUGCUCGUGGGGUAAAACCUGCAAGCGGAUCGGGAAGAUGUUCAAACUGUAUCAUCUAGAGGAAGUAA
This 112-nucleotide ribosomal RNA is filed under the name uncultured eukaryote. RNAcentral describes it as "partial small subunit ribosomal RNA". It matches the Rfam family "Eukaryotic small subunit ribosomal RNA", at positions 1675 to 1785 of the family's 1831-position model. The record is from RNAcentral.